RNAcentral lists this unclassified non-coding RNA (296 nucleotides) under fungal sp. RNAcentral describes it as "partial internal transcribed spacer region". The stretch from base 1 to 46 matches the Rfam family "Eukaryotic small subunit ribosomal RNA", at positions 1786 to 1831 of the family's 1831-position model. Lineage: Eukaryota; Fungi. The record is from RNAcentral.
AAGUCGUAACAAGGUUUCCGUAGGUGAACCUGCGGAAGGAUCAUUAACACGUAUCCAACGUAAAAAACCCCCCUGUGAACAUUCAAACCUGCUCUCGUAGCCCAGUGCGAUCCAGCAAUCCCGGUAAAUCAUUGUCGAACAGUAUUGAUUCGGGACUUCUGACAAAUGAGAAGUUACAGUUACGAUUGAGCGGAGAUAGCUGCAUGGCAUCCCGAAGCAGUCAGUGUCUGAAAGUGUCAUUGAUUGUCUAAGGAUCUCGCCUCGAACAACUGUUAACAAUGGAUAUCUUGGUUCUC